Long non-coding RNA from Ficedula albicollis (Collared flycatcher), 2137 nucleotides. The record is from Ensembl. Lineage: Eukaryota; Metazoa; Chordata; Aves; Passeriformes; Muscicapidae.
GGGGGGGGGGGGGGGGGGGGGGGGGGGGGGGGGGGGGGGGGGGGGGGGGGGGGGGGGGGGGGGGGGGGGGGGGGGGGGGGGGGGGGGGGGGGGGGGGGGGGGGGGGGGGGGGGGGCCUAACCAAUCAGCGCCCGCAUCGCAGCGCGCGGGCGAAACCAAACGAGAGCGCGGGCGAUGGAGCGGGUGAGGCCUGAAGGGUCCGGGGGGGACAGAGGGGGGACUUGGGGGAUCCCUGAAGGGAAUCUGGGGGGCUGGCGGGGACCCCGCGUCACUCCCCGCAUCCCCCCCGCAGAAGCUCAGCCUGGAGCAGCGAACGGAGCGUCUGAUGCAAAGGAGCCAGGCCCUGCUCAGGCCCCGCCCCUGCGGGCCAGAGGGGGCGGGGCCUCUGCUUGGCUCCGCCCCCUCCAGCUCCAUGCUCGAUGACCCCCUCGUUCAAUGGCGCUCGAGGCGGUGCCGAGGGGCGGAGCCAUCGCUGGACACGCCCCUGGUAGGCGGGCCCAUGCUGGGCUCUGCUGCUCCCCAGGGCGCCCUGCACGGAGUGCCACGGGGGCGGUCGCUGGGGGCCCCCGGGGCCCUGCAGGGCGCAGCACCCUGGGAGUCACGUGACCCCUCUAAGGCCCCAUGGCCAAUCAGGAGACACUUCCGCAAGCAGCAGGGGGCGUCUGCACCCCAGGCUGUCUCCCCGGAACCCUUGUGGCAGGAGCCAUGUUGGAGGUCACAUGACUCCCACAAGGCCCGCUGGCCAAUAAGGAGCAGCUCACUGGAUACCCUGCAGGGGGCAGGAUACUCACAGUCACGUGACUCCCACGAGGCCCUGUGGCAAAUCAGCAGCUGUUGUGCAUCUGCGCACCAGGGGGCGCCACUCCAUGGGAAGCAAGAGUGCCACGAGCCCUUGCGGCAUGAGCCAUUUUGGGACUUAUAUGACUGCCUCGGAGAUCUGCAGUGUGCACCAUAUCGGAAGUCACGUGACUCCCAGGAUGCCCUGCGGCCAGUAAGGGAGGCGCAUCCUGAGCUCCUGUGCCGGGGAGCGCCAGGCUUGGGGUCACGUGACCCCUGCAAGGCCCCACAGCCAAUCCGGAGCAGUGCCGGUGAUGCCCUACAGGGGGCGCCAUUGCAGCAGCCACUGGGCCCACUGGGGGACCCCCUCCUCUGGAUGCUGCGACGCCACCGCCGGGCCAUAAGGGGACGCCUUCGGGCCAUCGAGACUCUUCUGGAAUGCCCACCUGGGCACCCCCAACCCAUGGUGGGACCAAUAAAGCAGUGACACCCCAAAAUUGCACCAGGGAGGUGGGGAGACCCCCAGAAUCCUCUCCUUUACCUCCCCUACCUUUAGGAUUGCCCCAAUCCCCUCUCCCCCCAUAUGCCCCCAAGAGCAUUUCGGGGAUUCUGGGAGCUCGAAGGAGGGUGUUGCUGAGGUGCUGGGUGUCUCUGGGGGGUCCAUGAGGAUCUGUGGGGUGUUUGGAGGGGCUCUGAGGCUGCAGAAGGGGUUUGGGGGGUGCAUGGGGAGCGCUGGAAAUUGGGAGUGGUUUGGGAGGCCCUAGGUCUCUAUAGGGGUUCUGGAAGAAACCUGUGGGAUUUUGGGGGGGCACUCUAUGGGUGUUGAGGGAGAUCUGUGGAAGAUGUUGGGGGUCCAGAAAGGGGUUUGCAGGGACCCUUGGGUUUUGGGGGUCUUUAAGGGUCCGGGGGUCUGUGGGAUGUUUUGGGAAUCCCAGGACAGGGCUGGAGGGUCUGUGAGGACCAGGAAGUCUACAGGGGUGUCUGGGGGGUUACUGAGCGUAUCGGGGCAGGGAACCCCCAAACCUGUGGGGCCGUGGCUCACCUGUCUUCUUACCCUCACGGCCGACGUGGCGUCGGGGCAUUCUGGUGUUGCCCUGCCCCUGAGAGCGCUCUGGGGGGUCAUGAGGGGCCUCAGAAACCCCUCCUGAGCCCCCCAAAAUCCCUGGGGAAACCCCUGGGGCCCCCCCCCCGCCUCCAGCUCACCGCUGGCUCGCGCCAGUUUACUCGCUUUCUGGACUACAAUUCCCGAAAUGCCGCGGGCCCCGGAGAACGCCUUGGGGGGGGGGGGGGGGGGGGGGGGGGGGGGGGGGGGGGGGGGGGGGGGGGGGGGGGGGGGGGGGGGGGGGGGGGGGGGGGGGGG